Molecule: ribosomal RNA, 253 nt
Filed under: uncultured bacterium
Lineage: Bacteria
Description: partial 16S ribosomal RNA
Rfam family: Bacterial small subunit ribosomal RNA
Source: RNAcentral
UACGUAGGGUGCAAGCGUUAAUCGGAAUUACUGGGCGUAAAGCGUGCGCAGGCGGUUUUGUAAGGCUGUUGUGAAAUCCCCGGGCUCAACCUGGGAAUUGCGAUGGAGACUGCAAGGCUAGAAUCUGGCAGAGGGGGGUAGAAUUCCACGUGUAGCAGUGAAAUGCGUAGAGAUGUGGAGGAACACCGAUGGCGAAGGCAGCCCCCUGGGUCAAGAUUGACGCUCAUGCACGAAAGCGUGGGGAGCAAACAGG